GACGUAGGGCGCGAGCGUUGUCCGGAUUUAUUGGGCGUAAAGAGCUCGUAGGCGGCUUGUUGCGUCGACUGUGAAAACCCGCGGCUUAACUGCGGGCUUGCAGUUGAUACGGGCAGGCUAGAGUUCGGUAGGGGAGACUGGAAUUCCUGGUGUAGCGGUGAAAUGCGCAGAUAUCAGGAGGAACACCAAUGGCGAAGGCAGCUCGCUGGGACGUGACUGACGCUGAGGCGCGAAAGCGUGGGGAGCAAACAGG
This 253-nucleotide ribosomal RNA is filed under the name uncultured bacterium. RNAcentral describes it as "partial 16S ribosomal RNA". It matches the Rfam family "Bacterial small subunit ribosomal RNA", at positions 524 to 776 of the family's 1533-position model. The record is from RNAcentral.